Dreissena polymorpha is the source of this 128-nucleotide small nuclear RNA. RefSeq annotates it as U11 spliceosomal RNA. The record is from RefSeq and is a predicted model, not a curated record. NCBI's taxonomy places the organism in Eukaryota, Metazoa, Mollusca, Bivalvia, Myida, Dreissenidae. The transcript has a single exon.
GAAAAGUGCCUUCGACGCAAUGUCACUCAGCGUAUUCAAGGACGUUGGGCGGACUCGAUAGCAAGAGAUUUCGGAGGCGAAAUUUCUGUGAAAGAGGCAGUUAGUGCUUAAUUAAGCCUAGAGUCCUU